This 465-nucleotide ribosomal RNA is filed under the name uncultured bacterium. Its description in RNAcentral is "partial 16S ribosomal RNA". It matches the Rfam family "Bacterial small subunit ribosomal RNA", at positions 338 to 795 of the family's 1533-position model. The record is from RNAcentral.
CCUACGGGUGGCAGCAGUGGGGAAUAUUGCGCAAUGGGCGAAAGCCUGACGCAGCGACGCCGCGUGAGGGAUGAAGGUCUUCGGAUCGUAAACCUCUGUCAGCAGGGAAGAACGGUCACUGUGCUAAUCAGCAGUGAAUUGACGGUACCUGCAAAGGAAGCACCGGCUAACUCCGUGCCAGCAGCCGCGGUAAUACGGAGGGUGCGAGCGUUAAGCGGAAUUACUGGGCGUAAAGCGCUCGUAGGCGGUAUGUCAAGUCAAGGGUGAAAUCCCCGCGCUCAACGUGGGAACUGCCUUUGAAACUGAGAAACUGGAGUGUGUGAGAGGAGAGUGGAAUUCCAGGUGUAGGAGUGAAAUGCGUAGAUAUCUGGAGGAACAUCAGUGGCGAAGGCGACUAUCUGGCACAUAACUGACGCUGAGGAGCGAAAGCGUGGGUAGCAAACAGGAUUAGAUACCCCUGUAGUC